GCAAAUGGCGCGCCGAAUCCCUUGUGGUACGGAGGAACCAACUUCGGGGGUGAAUCCUGACCGGCGCCGGGUACGGGCGGCCGCGACGGCGGGGUUGUCCGUGUACGGUACGCGGUUGGACAGGCCGCAGCCGGUCCAAGGUAGGUUUUGUCUUUUUACCGAACCCGUCAGCUAACUCCGGAGGCGUAAAAAGAAAGGAGUG
RNAcentral lists this small RNA (202 nucleotides) under Desulfotomaculum sp. Its description in RNAcentral is "c-di-AMP sequence". It matches the Rfam family "c-di-AMP riboswitch aptamer (ydaO/yuaA leader)". From Rfam's summary of the family: This family represents a conserved RNA structure found upstream of the ydaO and yuaA genes in Bacillus subtilis and related genes in other bacteria. The ydaO/yuaA element is thought to act as a genetic "off" switch for the ydaO and yuaA genes in its native state. RNAcentral also lists the same sequence under 1 other name. The record is from RNAcentral. Lineage: Bacteria; Bacillati; Bacillota; Clostridia; Eubacteriales; Desulfotomaculaceae.